Molecule: transfer RNA, 74 nt
Organism: Stereum hirsutum FP-91666 SS1
Lineage: Eukaryota; Fungi; Basidiomycota; Agaricomycetes; Russulales; Stereaceae
Rfam family: tRNA
About the family: Transfer RNA (tRNA) molecules are approximately 80 nucleotides in length.
Source: Rfam
GGGCAUGUGGUGUAGUUGGUUAUCACGUUCGCUUCGCAUGCGAAAGGUGUCCGGUUCAAUUCCGGACAUGUCCA